Molecule: ribosomal RNA, 423 nt
Filed under: uncultured bacterium
Lineage: Bacteria
Description: bacterial SSU rRNA
Rfam family: Bacterial small subunit ribosomal RNA
Source: RNAcentral
UGGCGAGUGGCGCACGGGUGAGUAAUACAUCGGAACGUGUCCUGUUGUGGGGGAUAACUGCCUCGAAAGGGUGGCUAAUACCGCAUGAGACCUGAGGGUGAAAGCGGGGGAUCGCAAGACCUCGCGCAAUUGGAGCGGCCGAUGCCCGAUUAGCUAGUUGGUGAGGUAAAGGCUCACCAAGGCGACGAUCGGUAGCUGGUCUGAGAGGACGACCAGCCACACUGGGACUGAGACACGGCCCCAGACUCCUACGGGAGGCAGCAUGGGGAAUUUUGGACAAUGGGGGCAACCCUGAUCCAGCCAUGCCGCGUGCAGGAUGAAGGCCUUCGGGUUGUAAACUGCUUUUGUCAGGGACGAAAAGGACCGUGUUAAUACCAUGGUCUGCUGACGGUACCUGAAGAAUAAGCACCGGCUAACUACGUG